CACUGUACAGUCUACAUUGGAACUUGACGGUUAAUGUACAUUCUAACAUGGUUAUUAAUAACUUAAGUCCCUAAAAUACAUUCAUCAAUAUAACUUAAAACUAAAUUUAAGUUGAGAUAAUAAUAAAUUUUCUAAAAAUUAUACAUGAAACCUGGAAUGACAAAUAUAACUAAAAUAUCAUAAUUCACCGCAAGUUUUCAUAAAUUCAUUACAAACAUAAAUAGAUAUAGCCCAAAUAUUCACCAAUUAUCACAAACAAAAACACACAAAUAACUAAAAUAAAUAUUGACAUUCUUUCACAAUUCUAAAAAAGUCCAUAAAAGAGUUCAACUCAUAUUCAAGGCAUACAAUUUGAAUAACAAAUGUCCAUCAUUGGCAUGACAAGGCAUGAGCACCCCCUUCACAAUUUCAUCAAUUUAACCUGAAAAAGUUAAAAAGUUUAUUACAAAAAAUAUAAAUCUAAUUGGUGAAACUAAAAAAAAAAAGCCAAAAAAUUUUGAAAAACAAAGAUACAACCAAACACAAAAAAAAUCAAUUGCUACUAAACAUCACUAAUUAAUAUGUUAUAUUACCAAUCAUUAUCUUCAUCACCAUCCAAAAGGCGCCUACGCUGAAAUGCUUCCAAGUCAAUAUCAUUAUCUUCUCCAACUUCACUUUCAUCAUCUAAAUAAAUAAAUAAAGUAACAAUUAAGGACUUAUCCAUAUUUAUAAUAAAAUUCAAAUUAAAAAAUGCACUUUUAGCACCUCAUAUUACAAGUUAAAAAUAUAUUUAUUUUACUAUUAAAACCAACCUUCAACUAGUUGAGAAUCAUCUUUAGGAAGUUCUUCAAGUUCUUCCUCCAAUUCAUCACAAUUAAGCUCGCCAUCUUGUUCUUCUUCUAUGACCCAAAAUUCCGUUUUAUCAAUAGAUUCAUAAUCAAUGGGAUCAUAAGAUCUCUUUCGGUGAUCAAACCUACAAUAAAAUACAUUAGUUACAAAUUUAAUAUUACUUUAAAAAAUAAAAUAUAAAGAAUAAAGUAAAAAAUCAAUUAUACCUAUGUUGCAAACGCAAAUUGUAGUGCACAUAAACAAGAUCAUUAAGUCUUUGGUGCUCCAACCUAUUCCUUUUUUUAGUGUGAAUGCGUUCAAAAACGCUCCAAUUACGUUCACACCCAGAAGAAGAAGCUGUUUGACUCAAAAUUCUAAUUGCAAGCUUUUGCAAAUUCGGAGCAUCACAACCAUAUAACUUCCACCAAUUUUCUGUCACAAUCAUAUUAAAAUAUUAGAUCAAAUAAAAAAUAAAUUCACAAUUUUUGAUAUUAAAAAAAUAGAAAUAACCUGGCCGAUCAGAUUUACAAAUAAUUAGAUAUAAUUAGUUCAUUUGUAAAAUAUAGUGUACUAAUAAGCAAAUAAAAUUAACAAAUUUUCAGUAAUAUAAGAAGAUCAAUUAGUCACAUGAAUAGCUCAACUAAGAAAAUGAAAAGAGAAAAGUCAGUGUUAAACUAUGUCUAUGCGAAAAGGAAAAAAGAAAAGUCAAGCGUAAAAGUGUUACAAUGAAAAAAUCAACUCAUUACAAUGCAACACAAAUGAAAGCAACAAGAGGAAUAUUAAUGGUACGGUUCUCAGUAGCACAAAAUUGAAAAAUUCAAAUGCAGCAAUCUUGUUUUUUGUUUUCAUAAAAAACUAGGCCUUAGUUGACCCAAAGAAAUAACAAGAAGGAUAUAUACUAAUAGUGAGACAAUUAAGUACCCAGCCAAUUUCUGUGACCAUUCAACUAAUUUCCUUGUGCUAAUGGCAAUAUAUCAAAAGAAAAUUUUAGGUUAGGAAGUGAAUAAAUAGUUUUACCACUAAUGUAAACAAUCCAACACUUCUUACUUUUAGAGUAUUAAUAAUCAACAGUAAUUAAAUAAGCUAAAGCUGCCAAACUUUAUAGAAUAUAGCACCAAAUAAAUCUCCUGAGCUUUGAAUGAAAGAGAUAUAAUUUCUUAUGAUCCUAGUUGCUUUUAACAAAUAAAAAGCAAUUUAUUUUGUAAUUUUUUGUAGCCCGGAUGGAUUUAAAGAAUAUAUAUGUGUGUGUUAUUGUCUAGGUAAAUUGAACAAGCCAUAAAAAUAUACCCAGUCAUAACACCAAUGAUCAAGCCAUAAAAAUAUACGAGAUGAAAUCUAAAAAAAAAUAAAAAAAAAAUCUCCUAUAACUGAAGUAUAUUGCAUAUCUCCACAAAAGACAAACAUGUUGAAAAAAUGAACAAAUACAUUAAGGUGGCACAAUAACAAAGUACUAUCAAAGUCCUUGUGAUUGUCAAACCCAGAGGUCCUACAGACAGAAGAAAUCCCUGCGCUCCUUUAAUUAGACAAACUUCAAGUUGAAAUAAUAUUGAUUAAAUAAAAAAAGCUGUAUGAACUUUGAACAUUUGAGCAGAAAUUAGUUUUUGGUCACAGAAAUUAAUUGAAUAAAAAAAGGGCAUACGGUUGCAUACUAUAAUCAUAAAUCAUAAAUUAGUUGCAUACGGUUAUUGUCACAAACAAUAUCAAUGGAACAAAAAAAGGGCAUUCCAAAUAUUAAUUCCAGAAAAAUACAAAAUUAAAAAACCAAACAUGACUAAUUUUAUUAAUUUGAUGCUUCAUCCAAAAAAUAACUUCUCCAAACAUGACUGCCAAAUAAUUUAUGAUUCAUAAACGGAUGAAAAUUUGGGGGAAAAAAAAGAAGAAAAUACGAAAAAAUCCACUAAAGAUAAUAUAGAAAACAAAAAUCAAGAAAAGGCAAAAAAAAAGCCGUAUGAACUUUGAACAUUUGAGCAGAAAUUAGUUUUUGGUCACAGAAAUUAAUUGAAUAAAAAAAGGGCAUACGGUUGCAUACUAUAAUCAUAAAUCAUAAAUUAGUUGCAUACGGUUAUUGUCACAAACAAUAUCAAUGAAACAAAAAAAGGGCAUUCCAAAUAUUAAUUCCAGAAAAAUACAAAAUUAAAAAACCAAACAUGACUAAUUUUAUUAAUUUGAUACUUCAUCCAAAAAAUAACUUCUCCAAACAUGACUGCCAAAUAAUUUAUGAUUCAUAAACGGAUGAAAAUUUGGGGAAAAAAAAGAAGAAAAUACGAAAAAAUCCACUAAAGAUAAUAUAGAAAACAAAAAUCAAGAAAAGGCAAAAAUUAAACUUACCAAGAUGCAAAGCUUUGGAGUCCCGUCUAAAAAUAAUAGUGUGCUGAUCUUGUUGUGGAUAUUUGGAUGUGGAAGGAUGAUGAAGAAAAAAAAAAUAGAUUAACUGGAAAUUGAAGGAAUGGAGGAACUGAGAAAGUGAGAAAGUGAAGUGAAGCCAAGGAGAAAUGAGAAAUGGUGCCGUCGCCGUCUGUGCGUUUGUGGCUUUGUGCGGCUGAGAAAGAAUUACGAAAGUGAAUUGAAUGAAUGGUGCCG
This 3387-nucleotide long non-coding RNA is filed under the name Coffea arabica (coffee). RNAcentral's name for it is "long non-coding RNA (CARA_LNC004058)". The record is from RNAcentral. Lineage: Eukaryota; Viridiplantae; Streptophyta; Magnoliopsida; Gentianales; Rubiaceae.